RNAcentral lists this long non-coding RNA (162 nucleotides) under Mus pahari (shrew mouse). RNAcentral describes it as "lncRNA (MGP_PahariEiJ_G0006325.1)". The record is from RNAcentral. Lineage: Eukaryota; Metazoa; Chordata; Mammalia; Rodentia; Muridae.
GGCAGAUCAUGGCGGGAAGGGGAUGUGACGAAUCUCCAGUCAUGGAGCUUGUUACAGAGCCAGAGGAGAGGAAACAGAACCUGACAUUUGAGUCAGAAGAACUCUGUGAGCAACAGAAAUCACUACCAACAAAGCCCAAGGCAGACAUGCAAGACAGAAAGG